UGAGUUUGAUCAUGGCUCAGAUUGAACGCUGGCGGCAGGCCUAACACAUGCAAGUCGAACGGUAACAGGAAGAAGCUUGCUUCUUUGCUGACGAGUGGCGGACGGGUGAGUAAUGUCUGGGAAACUGCCUGAUGGAGGGGGAUAACUACUGGAAACGGUAGCUAAUACCGCAUAACGUCGCAAGACCAAAGAGGGGGACCUUCGGGCCUCUUGCCAUCGGAUGUGCCCAGAUGGGAUUAGCUAGUAGGUGGGGUAACGGCUCACCUAGGCGACGAUCCCUAGCUGGUCUGAGAGGAUGACCAGCCACACUGGAACUGAGACACGGUCCAGACUCCUACGGGAGGCAGCAGUGGGGAAUAUUGCACAAUGGGCGCAAGCCUGAUGCAGCCAUGCCGCGUGUAUGAAGAAGGCCUUCGGGUUGUAAAGUACUUUCAGCGGGGAGGAAGGGAGUAAAGUUAAUACCUUUGCUCAUUGACGUUACCCGCAGAAGAAGCACCGGCUAACUCCGUGCCAGCAGCCGCGGUAACACGGAGGGUGCAAGCGUUAAUCGGAAUUACUGGGCGUAAAGCGCACGCAGGCGGUUUGUUAAGUCAAAUGUGAAAUCCCCGGGCUCAACCUGGGAACUGCAUCUGAUACUGGCAAGCUUGAGUCUCGUAGAGGGGGGUAGAAUUCCAGGUGUAGCGGUGAAAUGCGUAGAGAUCUGGAGGAAUACCGGUGGCGAAGGCGGCCCCCUGGACGAAGACUGACGCUCAGGUGCGAAAGCGUGGGGAGCAAACAGGAUUAGAUACCCUGGUAGUCCACGCCGUAAACGAUGUCGACUUGGAGGUUGUGCCCUUGAGGCGUGGCUUCCGGAGCUAACGCGUUAAGUCGACCGCCUGGGAAGUACGGCCGCAAGGUUAAAACUCAAAUGAAUUGACGGGGGCCCGCACAAGCGGUGGAGCAUGUGGUUUAAUUCGAUGCAACGCGAAGAACCUUACCUGGUCUUGACAUCCACGGAAGUUUUCAGAGAUGAGAAUGUGCCUUCGGGAACCGUGAGACAGGUGCUGCAUGGCUGUCGUCAGCUCGUGUUGUGAAAUGUUGGGUUAAGUCCCGCAACGAGCGCAACCCUUAUCCUUUGUUGCCAGCGGUCCGGCCGGGAACUCAAAGGAGACUGCCAGUGAUAAACUGGAGGAAGGUGGGGAUGACGUCAAGUCAUCAUGGCCCUUACGACCAGGGCUACACACGUGCUGCAAUGGCGCAUACAAAGAGAAGCGACCUCGCGAGAGCAAGCGGACCUCAUAAAGUGCGUCGUAGUCCGGAUUGGAGUCUGCAACUCGACUCCAUGAAGUCGGAAUCGCUAGUAAUCGUGGAUCAGAAUGCCACGGUGAAUACGUUCCCGGGCCUUGUACACACCGCCCGUCACACCAUGGGAGUGGGUUGCAAAAGAAGUAGGUAGCUUAACCUUCGGGAGGGCGCUUACCACUUUGUGAUUCAUGACUGGGGUGAAGUCGUAACAAGGUAACCA
This 1504-nucleotide ribosomal RNA is filed under the name uncultured Shigella sp. Its description in RNAcentral is "bacterial SSU rRNA". It matches the Rfam family "Bacterial small subunit ribosomal RNA". The record is from RNAcentral. Lineage: Bacteria; Pseudomonadati; Pseudomonadota; Gammaproteobacteria; Enterobacterales; Enterobacteriaceae.